Non-coding RNA from Ailuropoda melanoleuca (giant panda), 73 nucleotides. The record is from Rfam. Lineage: Eukaryota; Metazoa; Chordata; Mammalia; Carnivora; Ursidae.
GCCUGGCUGGCUUGGUCGGAAGAGCAUAUGACUCUUGAUCUUGGGGUUGUGAGUUCGAGCCCCAUGUUGGGUG